GAUGAACGCUGGCUACAGGCUUAACACAUGCAAGUCGAGGGGAAACGACGGGGAAGCUUGCUUCCCCGGGCGUCGACCGGCGCACGGGUGAGAAACGCGUAUCCAACCUGCCUCUGACUGAGGGAUAACCCGUCGAAAGUCGGCCUAAUACCUCAUGGCAUCGUCUGCGGGCAUCCAACGACGAUUAAAGAUUUCAUCGGUCAGAGAUGGGGAUGCGUCUGAUUAGCUUGUUGGCGGGGUAACGGCCCACCAAGGCGACGAUCAGUAGGGGUUCUGAGAGGAAGGCCCCCCACAUUGGAACUGAGACACGGUCCAAACGCCUACGGGAGGCAGCAGUGGGGAAUAUUGGUCAAUGGGCGAGAGCCUGAACCAGCCAAGUAGCGUGCAGGAUGACGGCCCUAGGGGUUGUAAACUGCUUUUAUGCGGGGAUAAAGUGAGGGACGUGUCCUUCAUUGCAGGUACCGCAUGAAUAAGGACCGGCUAAUUCCGUG
Molecule: ribosomal RNA, 491 nt
Filed under: uncultured bacterium
Lineage: Bacteria
Description: partial 16S ribosomal RNA
Rfam family: Bacterial small subunit ribosomal RNA
Source: RNAcentral